Molecule: long non-coding RNA, 1662 nt
Organism: Strigops habroptila (Kakapo)
Lineage: Eukaryota; Metazoa; Chordata; Aves; Psittaciformes; Psittacidae
Exons: 2
Source: RefSeq, a predicted model, not a curated record
UUAUUCUGACAAUACUGUACUUGUGUGAAAUUUUAAUGUGGAAUCUUUGUUUCACCAGGUAAUGUUGGCUUACAUGCAACAAACCACUGUAUGGAAGAUGGUAGAAGGAUUGAUUGUGCUAUUUCUUUUUGUAUGAGCCACUGGUAGGCAUAGUAGCUAUGUUGUUACCAUAACUGGUUAACAUAGAAGCUUAACAUGCCAUGAUGUCUGGCUGACAGAUGUGUCUAUAUCCUAUCAGAGUGCUUUGGUUUUUCCUAAGUUUUUUUCAAGAGCACAGUGGGAAUUCUUGCACACUAGGCACAGACAGGGAAAACUGGGAACUUUCUGCUUAGAUAACAGAAAGUGAAAAGUAACUAUUUACAGAUAAAUGUGGUUCUUUGCAACUCUGUUUACUUCCGCUGAUGAGCACUGUACUGUUUCCCAGGCUUCAAUACCUAGCAAGUAUUUCACAUGUCCUUCACACAAGCAUCUAUCAAGACAUCCCACACUGCACAACAGACUCCUCAGUCCUGUGGUAGUUUCCCAGUCAAUGAUUAGUCACAGGUGAAGCUGUAGCACAGGAGCUGUACUUCACACUCCUUUGGGCUAUUGAUACAACUGAUUAUUGUCAUUUUCUAUGAAAAAAAAAAAAAACCAACAAAACUUGAAUGGGCAUCUUAUUUCCAAAUGAAUAGCAAUUGCCUAGCUAUAUAACUUAGCACAUUUAAGCACUGCAGCCUCUCUUUAUAACAGGCAGAGAUUUAAAAGUUUGAUAAUACUGUUCCAAAUUGAGCAAAGGAGUGGAAGCAGCAUAGCUCGGGCCAGGCAGUGUAUAGCAGCAGCAGUGCAACAUGCAGCUGAACCGAGCAAAAUGGAUCUGAACUCUGAGCACAUCAUGGGCUCAGUGGUAAGCCAGUAUGAGGUUCAGAUGUUAUGUAAGGCAUCUGUGCUCAAACCCUAUGGCAAAGGAAAGCUGGAGUAAUUAUAGUAAUACUUGUAAUUUUCCACUUGAUGCCUACCUGAUCUAGCAAUGCAGAAAUGGUGAAUGGGGUUCGUACAUAGCAAGCUGUUUGAAAACAAUCAGGAGCUGGCAGAGUACCAUGAAAUUUACUAUUUGCUUUUUGGAUUUUCUUGUUUUUCUUCCUUCAUUCUGUUCCUUUCCAUCCUCCUCCUUUAGCUUGUUAUUUAGUUUAAAGGAAAUGAUCACUCGUGGUUGUAUUACUGGUAAAGAAGUGACCUCGUGCGAGCUUCCUGCUAAGCCGGCAUCCCUUCCUCCACCUGCCAUAAAGCACAUUAUAGCAUUACAGAUGGAAGAUAAUGUUCUGCACCAGUUCUGCUGUCCACCUUCGGGGUCUAGUAGUCCAUCUUCAAGAUGACAGCGAAGCUCGGGGUCGCUAAGUGUGCAGUCAGUGCUACAUCUGUAUAGGCCAUCUCUCCUCUUACUGGUGUGUAUGGGACUGACACUUGCAUGGAUGCCACAGGAUUGUGAUUCAUGUUGAGUCUGAGUUAUUCAGAAUGGCACAGCCAUAUGAUUUUGCCAUCGAUGCUUGGUAAUCUCCUCUCCAUGCUUUUCUACAGCUCUUGUCCUUGUGUCCAGUAUCUAAAACACAUGCAGACUGUAAACAAGUACCUAAAAUGCACAGUUUAUUUUGAACUAAAAUAAACAGUACCAUAAGUCUUUAA